AUUGAACGCUGGCGGCAUGCCUUACACAUGCAAGUCGAACGGCAGCACGGGAGCAAUCCUGGUGGCGAGUGGCGAACGGGUGAGUAAUAUAUCGGAACGUGCCCAGUCGUGGGGAUAACGUAGCGAAAGCUACGCUAAUACCGCAUACGAUCUAUGGAUGAAAGCGGGGGAUCGCAAGACCUCGCGCGAUUGGAGCGGCCGAUAUCAGAUUAGGUAGUUGGUGAGGUAAAGGGCUCACCAAGCCGACGAUCUGUAGCUGGUCUGAGAGGACGACCAGCCACACUGGGACUGAGACACGGCCCAGACUCCUACGGGAGGCAGCAGUGGGGAAUUUUGGACAAUGGGCGCAAGCCUGAUCCAGCAAUGCCGCGUGCAGGAUGAAGGCC
This 386-nucleotide ribosomal RNA is filed under the name uncultured bacterium. RNAcentral's name for it is "bacterial SSU rRNA". It matches the Rfam family "Bacterial small subunit ribosomal RNA", at positions 30 to 416 of the family's 1533-position model. The record is from RNAcentral.